UCCCUGUUGGUUCAGUGGUUAAGCAUCUGCCUUGCAUGCAGAGGAUGUGGGUUUGAUUCCUGACCGGGGAA
RNAcentral lists this transfer RNA (71 nucleotides) under Bos taurus (domestic cattle). It matches the Rfam family "tRNA". From Rfam's summary of the family: Transfer RNA (tRNA) molecules are approximately 80 nucleotides in length. Their secondary structure includes four short double-helical elements and three loops (D, anti-codon, and T loops). Further hydrogen bonds mediate the characteristic L-shaped molecular structure. tRNAs have two regions of fundamental functional importance: the anti-codon, which is responsible for specific mRNA codon recognition, and the 3' end, to which the tRNAs corresponding amino acid is attached (by aminoacyl-tRNA synthetases). tRNAs cope with the degeneracy of the genetic code in two manners: having more than one tRNA (with a specific anti-codon) for a particular amino acid; and 'wobble' base-pairing, i.e. permitting non-standard base-pairing at the 3rd anti-codon position. RNAcentral also lists the same sequence under 1 other name. The record is from Rfam by way of RNAcentral. Lineage: Eukaryota; Metazoa; Chordata; Mammalia; Artiodactyla; Bovidae.